RNAcentral lists this ribosomal RNA (1391 nucleotides) under uncultured bacterium. RNAcentral describes it as "16S ribosomal RNA". It matches the Rfam family "Bacterial small subunit ribosomal RNA". The record is from RNAcentral.
GAGUUUGAUUAUUGGCUCAGGACGAACGCCUGGCGGCGUGCUUAACACAUGCAAGUUCAACGAUGAAACCUAGCUUGCUAGGUGGAUUAGUGGCGAACGGGUGAGUAAUACGUGAGUAACCUACCUUUAACUCUGGGAUAAGCCCGGGAAAACUGGGUCUAAUACCGGAAUACCACCAAUCUCCGCAUGGGGUGUUGGUGGAAAAGCGUUAUGUAGUGGUUAUAGAUGGGCUCACGGCCUAUCAGCUUGUUGGUGAGGUAACGGCUCACCAAGGCGAACGACGGGUAGCCGGCCUGAGAGGGUGACCGGCCACACUGGGACUGAGACACGGCCCAGACUCCUACGGGAGGCAGCAGUGGGGAAUAUUGCACAAUGGGCGCAAGCCUGAUGCAGCGACGCCGCGUGAGGGAUGACGGCCUUCGGGUUGUAAACCUCUGUUAGCAGGGAAGAAAAGAGAUUGACGGUACCUGCAGAGAAAGCGCCGGCUAACUACGUGCCAGCAGCCGCGGUAAUACGUAGGGCGCGAGCGUUGUCCGGAAUUAUUGGGCGUAAAGAGCUUGUAGGCGGUUUGUCGCGUCUGCUGUGAAAGGCCGGGGCUUAACCCCGUGUAUUGCAGUGGGUACGGGCAGACUAGAGUGCAGUAGGGGAGACUGGAAUUCCUGGUGUAGCGGUGGAAUGCGCAGAUAUCAGGAGGAACACCGAUGGCGAAGGCAGGUCUCUGGGCUGUAACUGACGCUGAGAAGCGAAAGCAUGGGGAGCGAACAGGAUUAGAUACCCUGGUAGUCCAUGCCGUAAACGUUGGGCACUAGGUGUGGGGGACAUUCCACGUUUUCCGCGCCGUAGCUAACGCAUUAAGUGCCCCGCCUGGGGAGUACGGCCGCAAGGCUAAAACUCAAAGAAAUUGACGGGGGCCCGCACAAGCGGCGGAGCAUGCGGAUUAAUUCGAUGCAACGCGAAGAACCUUACCAAGGCUUGACAUAUACUGGACCGCAUCAGAGAUGGUGUUUCCCUUCGGGGCUGGUAUACAGGUGGUGCAUGGUUGUCGUCAGCUCGUGUCGUGAGAUGUUGGGUUAAGUCCCGCAACGAGCGCAACCCUCGUUCUAUGUUGCCAGCACGUUAUGGUGGGGACUCAUAGGAGACUGCCGGGGUCAACUCGGAGGAAGGUGGGGAUGACGUCAAAUCAUCAUGCCCCUUAUGUCUUGGGCUUCACGCAUGCUACAAUGGCCGGUACAGAGGGUUGCGAUACUGUGAGGUGGAGCUAAUCCCUAAAAGCCGGUCUCAGUUCGGAUUGGGGUCUGCAACUCGACCCCAUGAAGUCGGAGUCGCUAGUAAUCGCAGAUCAGCAACGCUGCGGUGAAUACGUUCCCGGGCCUUGUACACACCGCCCGUCA